AAACUCCAUCUAAGGCUAAAUACGACCACGAGACCGAUAGCAAACAAGUACCGUGAGGAAAGUUGAAAAGAACUUUGAAGAGAGAGUUCAAGAGUACGUGAAACCGUUCAGGGGUAAACGGAAAAGACUUUAAACACCGAAAGGGAUGAUUCACGCUCUAUCGCAAGAGUCGGCACCCGUGAGGUGAGAUGGCGCCGUUCGCCCGCUCGGCGCAUGCCGUGGCGGGGUCGUUUCGGAAGUCACUCCACGCUCGCGGGUGUUAUGCCGGCCGCGAUGGGCCGCAUUUCAACCCCUGUAGGACACCGCGACCCGUUAGGCGACGGUCGACGGUCCCGGCGGGAGCCCGUGACGGAUGUAAAAGUCCGUUGCGGACCCCGGGUUACCUGGCUGAUCGGAAGGCGGUAUGAAACGCAGGUGUUGGACCGCCCCUAUUCAGGCGUCUGGGCCGGCCGCAAGCUCGUGCGCGCGUCGGGAUGACGGACUCCGGUCCGGCUCUCGGCCCGUACGGCUGUUGGUGGUCGUGCCCUUCGGACGGGUC
RNAcentral lists this ribosomal RNA (538 nucleotides) under Alchisme sp. NYSM 96-09-16-68. Its description in RNAcentral is "eukaryotic LSU rRNA". It matches the Rfam family "Eukaryotic large subunit ribosomal RNA", at positions 301 to 500 of the family's 3401-position model. The record is from RNAcentral. Lineage: Eukaryota; Metazoa; Arthropoda; Insecta; Hemiptera; Membracidae.